GAUGAAGAACGUAGCGAAAUGCGAUAAGUAAUGUGAAUUGCAGAAUUCAGUGAAUCAUCGAAUCUUUGAACGCACAUUGCGCCCGCCAGUAUUCUGGCGGGCAUGCCUGUUCGAGCGUCAUUUCAACCCUCAAGCCCAGCUUGGUGUUGGGGAUCGGCACAGGCGCCCUCGGGCGCCCGCCGUCCCCUAAAUCUAGUGGUGGUCCCGCUGCAGCCUCCUCUGCGUAGUAGUUUUCUCCUCGCAAGGGCAGCUCGGUGGCGACCUCGCCGUAAAACCCCCAACUUCUGAAAGGUUGACCUCGAAUCAGGUAGGAAUACCCGCUGAACUUAAGCAUAUCAAUAAGCGGAGGA
Molecule: unclassified non-coding RNA, 350 nt
Filed under: soil metagenome
Description: partial contains 5.8S ribosomal RNA, internal transcribed spacer 2, and large subunit ribosomal RNA
Rfam family: 5.8S ribosomal RNA (bases 1-120)
Source: RNAcentral